GGCAAUUACUUUUCAAAUGUCAAAAGCCGUCAUAUUUCUGUAGAUACUUGUCCUUUGGGAAAAUAUUGAAUAAUUUUGAUUACCAAUUAAUUAAUGGAUUGUAUAUCGUGAAACAUAGUGUAUUGAUGGUGAGCCGGUAGUUGCGGCGCCGGGAAAUCAGACUGGACUCAGACGAUACAAUUUAUUUCGGAACAAUUGAUGGUACAGAGUGACACAAGAAACCUCGCUGUAUAAAAUGGACGCAAGGAACUUAUGACGCUAUCAACAUAGAAUAGUCUUCCAUACGGCACCAAGACUGAACCUGUGAUACACCAGCGACGCUCAGACUUCAUCAGUUCAUCCCACUUCAUCCGUGGACUGCAGGCUUAGCUGAGGAACCCAGACAAUAACCGGAACGAACUUUAUGGAGCAUCACAAUUGUUCUAUAAGGACAUUAUUGUAAACUAGGGGUGGUCGAUGCCCCACGCGGCGCCCGCCUCCGCCAUGUCGGCUCCCCCCCGCCACCCGCACUUCUACACCGUCGAGGUCGGCGACACCCGCUUCACCAUCCUCAAGCGUUACCAGAACCUCAAGCCGAUUGGAUCCGGGGCACAGGGCAUUGUCUGCGCUGCAUACGACACGGUGACCCAACAGAAUGUCGCCAUCAAGAAACUGUCGCGGCCCUUCCAGAACGUCACGCACGCAAAACGCGCCUACCGCGAAUUCAAACUCAUGAAACUCGUCAACCAUAAAAAUAUAAUCGGUCUCCUGAACGCGUUCACCCCGCAGAGGAGCCUAGAGGAGUUCCAGGACGUGUACCUGGUGAUGGAGCUGAUGGACGCUAACCUCUGCCAGGUGAUCCAGAUGGACCUGGACCACGAGCGCAUGAGCUACCUACUGUACCAGAUGCUGUGCGGCAUCAAGCACUUGCAUCUUGCUGGGAUUAUACAUCGGGACUUGAAGCCCUCCAACAUAGUGGUGAAGAGCGACUGCACGCUCAAGAUCCUGGACUUCGGGCUGGCUCGCACCGCCGGGACCACCUUCAUGAUGACGCCCUAUGUCGUCACUAGAUACUAUCGCGCGCCUGAGGUAAUCCUGGGCAUGGGCUACACGGAGAACGUGGACAUCUGGUCGGUGGGCUGCAUCAUGGGCGAAAUGAUCCGCGGCGGCGUGCUCUUCCCCGGCACCGACCACAUCGACCAGUGGAACAAGAUCAUUGAGCAAUUGGGCACGCCAUCUGCGGCGUUCAUGGCGCGGCUGCAACCGACGGUGCGCAACUACGUGGAGAACCGCCCGCGCUACGCCGGUUACAGCUUCGAGCGGCUCUUCCCCGACAUAUUGUUCCCCUCCGACAGUAAUGAACAUAACCGACUCAAGGCGUCUCAAGCGCGCGACCUGCUGUCCCGCAUGCUGGUGAUCGACCCGGAGCGCCGCAUCUCCGUGGACGAGGCGCUGCUGCACCCCUACAUCAACGUGUGGUACGACGAGGGGGAGGUCAACGCGCCGGCACCAGCGUCAUACGACCACUCGGUGGACGAGCGCGAGCACACCGUGGACCAGUGGAAGCAGCUCAUCUACCAGGAGGUAGGAGGCUCUGACGUCAUCGACGACGACUAACACGUCCCCGACGACGUCUUACCACGUCGCGACGUCACACUUCACCAUUAUAAAAUACUAUCGCGUAAAUACUGUGCCGCUAGAACUUAAAAGUCAUAAUUCAGUAUCAAUCAAGUGGACUGUGUUUAGUGCAGUGUAUUAUAAUUGAAAAACUGAUAGAAAUUAUCUUUCUUCUAUAACAACAAUUUUAAUAACAAAUAAAAACUUUUCCAAAACAAAUUACCGACAAUAAUCGUUUAUAAGCGCCACCUGUGAGAAGAGUUCCGAACUAAGACAAACAACAUCGCAACGUCAAUGUGCUGUGCUUGGAAGUAUAUAUCGCCUAACAGAUGGCGUUAUUUGUAGAUGCAAUGAGAAGUUCUUCCACCGCGUUGGAUUACUGGUGGUGGAGUACGCGGCGCCGCCGCCCGCGCAGCCGCUGGCGCCGCCCCAAGACCACGCGCAACCGGCGCUCACCACAUAGGUAUCAGCCGAGUUGACCGCCGAAAUCUAAUGAUCUACGACUAUAGUGCUAUCACUGUAGAGCGCGACGCGACGCGCUUCAUACGGCUACUGCGCAGUAGCCAUUCGGCGGCCAUUUUACUGUGAACACGUUUCAAUCAAACAAACGAUGUACAUAAAUAUCGUGACUUUGUGCAAUACACCACGGAAUCAAUUCAAGUGCAAAGUAAAAAGUUAAUUUGACUCGUUCAUUUUCUUUGUGUACAGAGAAGAGAGUGAAUGUUUCAGAGACAUCAAUAAUAACGUAGAGUAAGGCAGUGUAACAGAGAAUAACCCGUAGCGUAGCUGAAGUACUCUGUUAAGUACUGGUUUGUUUGUAUCAUUUAAAGAACUGUUAUCUCGUCUAUUUCUCGUAGUAUCUUCCUGUUUCUUAUGAUACGUAGUGUAAGUGAUCGGUUGCAGUGACACUGGAUGGUGUUCGUAAGCUCAACAGGUCCAUUGAUCGCCCCCGCCCCCGCCCCUGCCCCCGCUCCCGCCUUGCCCACGAACGUUUCAUUUGCAUUAAGGAGUGCCUUUUGCGAUUGCUAAAAGUUGGUGAAUUCAGCUUGUGGACUGACUUUGAUAUGUUUGAAUAUUUUUGUAAUAAAAUACACGAAUGAAAUGACAAGGGUGAUUCCUCUUAUUAAUCAUGCAAUAUUUUUAUCUCGUUUUAUUUUAAUUUAUAUCAAUUUGUAAUUAAAUAGUAAUGUAAUGAAUAUUAAUAAUAGAAUGUUGAGCUUAAUAUGUGUUGUUGUAUUUUUGUUUUUAUUGUGCGAUUAUUUUAAUUUAUACAUUAUUUGUAAUGUUAAUUAUAUUAUUGACGGUGGCACAUUUCCAAUCUGACCUCGAUCUGUCAACCCGAUGAAUUUCCUAAUCGAAUAUAAACUUUGUUGUAAGUACAGUGCCAUUCACAACCUUAUUGCCAUAGGUACAUGUUGGGUGUUGGAUUUGCAAUCGUGAGUUUCUGCGUGAUCUUUGGAUGUAUCUCGAUAUAAUUUGUUUCUUAGCCAUACACAAUGUCAGAUAGUUACUUGGGAUUUUGUGAUGUUCAUAGUUUUUCGUAAGUAGACCCUAGUUACAUUGUUGAUAAUAUUGUAUUGACUGUAUGAGAGUAGAUUAAUAAGUAUAUUUCUACCUAAGUAGUCUUAUAGGUCACCUCACACGUUGCGAACGACUGAAACUAAAUACGUAAACAAACGAACGAGUUGAUAACCUUGGUAUGUUAAACGGAAAUCGGAACGGUUUUAUAUAAAAAAAAGUAAAUCUAAAAAUAAUUUUAAACCUCGUUUUUUUCCACUGAUGACGUCAGUUUUAAUAUUCUGCUUUCAAUAAACACAAUAGGUGCGUAUAAUUUUAUUAUACGACAGUUCAGUCAAUGGCUUAACGUGUGAGGGUGUCGUAGGAUAUCGUUUGAAACCUCACUAGGUGAUAUAAUAUAAAUUAAGGGUAAUACAGAACGAUAGUCGUAUCGGGUGGUUUCAGCAAAUAGCACAAUUUAUUAGCUAUAGUAUAAAGCUGGGCGGUGACACGUUUGUGAUGUAUCUGCAUAACCAAUGAAGCAAUAAUAACAUCUUUCCUUUCUAUCUUUCGACUUCCUUCCAGAGCGGGCAACCAACUCGUUUAGGCCCAAAAACAUAUCACGAUUGACUUAAAUUGAUCAAUAUUCGACGUUUUUUGGCCAACGGUGAUGUUUGGCCGCUCCUCUAUGUUGUCGCUUUACUUUUGUUCCAUGCCGUCUCAGGAUUAUCACGUAAUUUAAUGUCAAUUGUGUCACCUCUAAUGCAAAGGCAUCUAAAUUUUCAUAAGGUUGUAUGUAUAUCAAAAUCAAGAUAAUAACAAUUUUGGCUAAUGCAAUUUUAUGUUGAUAAGAAAAAGAAGUGUAAUAAAUCUUUGAAAGUAUACAAUAAUAAGUCUAUUUUAGAUCUAAGUAUAAAUCUGUAAAUAUAACAGUAAAUAAUAAAUUACUGAAAUGGAACGAAAGUGAAGAGAACAUACUUUGAAUCUUAUAGUCAUUCUGUUUAUCACUAUAGAAAAUAAAUGAUUCACAACUGUACGUCCAAAUUGUCCAUUUAUAUGUUAAAAUGUACCUAAUACAAAUUACAAUAAUGUAAUCUUUAGAAUGUAUUUUAGUACACUUGGUAACAAGGGUUAAGGUAGUCGCCUUGUUGAACGCAAGCCGCGCGGCUUCUAGCGAUAUGUUUGAGUUAACACUUCGAUGACUAUCUAAAAACAACUUAUUUUUACUGUACGCGUAAGUUAUUUCAUAUUUUAACUGAAUAAAAUCGAAAUGGUUAUUAUA
Molecule: unclassified non-coding RNA, 4375 nt
Filed under: Pectinophora gossypiella (pink bollworm)
Lineage: Eukaryota; Metazoa; Arthropoda; Insecta; Lepidoptera; Gelechiidae
Description: stress-activated protein kinase JNK
Source: RNAcentral